This is a long non-coding RNA of Saccostrea cuccullata (small rock oyster), 533 nucleotides long. RefSeq lists it as uncharacterized. The transcript has 2 exons. Lineage: Eukaryota; Metazoa; Mollusca; Bivalvia; Ostreida; Ostreidae. The record is from RefSeq and is a predicted model, not a curated record.
AAAGAAAUAAAUAAACAAACCAUAUUCUUACCUGUGACGUCUCUUAUCAUAAAAGUGAUGCUUAUAUACAGAGUAGGCAAAGCAUGCUAACCAAAUCCGGCAUGAUAAUAUUACCUUGGGCAUUAUUCAGCUAAUUACGGUUAUGUAAUUUGUAUAUUCAAGCAUGUUCAUAUAAGAAAAAACUUAUUUAAAAGUACUUCCAAAUGUCAAAUUGCAGGCAAACGGAGGAUAUUGUGAAAGUGAAAAAGAAACUUUUCUAGACAAUGAAGUCGGCACGCCUAAUUAUUAUUUUUUUGCUGCUUAUGAUUUUACAAGUAGGGUUAAAUGUAGGAUUUUAUGAAGUAAUGGCAGAGGACAGUGAUGGAAACAGCGUAGGAGUUAUUGUCAAACGAAGUCUGUUUUCGUCUAUAAUAGGGGGAUCACGGCAAUUUGGAAUUUAUAAUUUACGAUUCAGGAGAAGAAGACGUCCCAGUUCAAGAAGAAGAUGGGGUUAACUUUGCAAUUCCUCCUCAAUAAAACAUUUAUGAUGAAAA